UGGGGAAUAUUGCACAAUGGGCGAAAGCCUGAUGCAGCAACGCCGCGUGAGCGAUGAAGGCCUUCGGGCCGUAAAGCUCUGUCCUCAAGGAAGAUAAUGACGGUACUUGAGGAGGAAGCCCCGGCUAACUACGUGCCAGCAGCCGCGGUAAUACGUAGGGGGCUAGCGUUAUCCGGAAUUACUGGGCGUAAAGGGUGCGUAGGUGGUUUCUUAAGUCAGAGGUGAAAGGCUACGGCUCAACCGUAGUAAGCCUUUGAAACUGGGAAACUUGAGUGCAGGAGAGGAGAGUGGAAUUCCUAGUGUAGCGGUGAAAUGCGUAGAUAUUAGGAGGAACACCAGUUGCGAAGGCGACUUACUGGACUGUAACUGACGCUGAGACGCGAAAGCGUGGGGAGCAAACA
This 401-nucleotide ribosomal RNA is filed under the name uncultured prokaryote. RNAcentral's name for it is "bacterial SSU rRNA". It matches the Rfam family "Bacterial small subunit ribosomal RNA", at positions 355 to 774 of the family's 1533-position model. The record is from RNAcentral.